CUUUCUAAUCCAAGCCCUACAUUUUCCAGAAAUCUUGAGGAAGAGUGGAAACGCAUGGGCUUUGGAGCUGGACACUUGGGGUUUAAAGCCUGACUCUGCUGUGAGACCACGAGAG
Molecule: long non-coding RNA, 115 nt
Filed under: Callithrix jacchus (white-tufted-ear marmoset)
Lineage: Eukaryota; Metazoa; Chordata; Mammalia; Primates; Cebidae
Description: lncRNA (ENSCJAG00000083461.1)
Source: RNAcentral